GAAUUAAAUCUGGCUGCUAUCCAAGAACCUGGGUGACUCACAAGGCAGAAGAAACACUGAAUUCUAUCUGUUUAAUGAAUAAGAUUCAGAGAAAAAGAGGGUGGAUGUUCUGAGAAUCUUUUAAUGGCAUUACAAAGGAACCCUGUCUAUUCUGAGAAGAGGAUUGAGGACCAAUCAAUAAGGUUGGUUAUAAUAUGACUACAAUACUCAGUUAAUCACCUCCAUAGAUUGAUCAUCAUAUUCUCCUGAUCUGAACCCAAUUGAAGCUGUAUGGAAUCUUGUGAAGCAGUGGAUACAGGAGAAACAUGGGGAUGAGGAAAUCUUUCUUAUAAUGCACAAGAGACGGUUAGAAAUGCCUGGGACUUUAUAACAAGGGAGCAGCUACAGGAGCUUAUUGCAGAGAUGCCUGGCUCACUGUCAGGCAAUUAUAGAGGU
This 435-nucleotide small RNA is filed under the name Histoplasma capsulatum. Its description in RNAcentral is "hypothetical RNA". The record is from RNAcentral. Lineage: Eukaryota; Fungi; Ascomycota; Eurotiomycetes; Onygenales; Ajellomycetaceae. RNAcentral also lists the same sequence under 1 other name.